CUGCCCUACCACCUACACAACCACCUGCCCCAUCACCUACACAACCACCUGCCCCGUCACUUACACCACCACCUACACCAACACCUUGGCCUGAGGCUGAGCCAUAGUAGUAAAUAUAAGAUGCGUUUAAUGGAUGAAGUCUUUCUGGAGGAGCUCAACGGGUUCUUGCAGCAGUAGCAGUAGCAGCCGUGGGGGGUAGGAGGCUUCAGCGUGGCCCUGGCUGUCAGAAGUGUGGGGAGUGCGGUAAGACAUUCCAUUGUCGCGACUCCUUGCGGCGCCACUUGAAGAUCCACCGAGGCACGGCGCUGACGUGCCCCGCCUGCACCAGGCUCUUCGUGCAGCGGGGAGACCUAAAUCGUCACCUGCGGCGCCGACACCCACAACUCGCG
Molecule: non-coding RNA, 389 nt
Organism: Procambarus clarkii (red swamp crayfish)
Lineage: Eukaryota; Metazoa; Arthropoda; Malacostraca; Decapoda; Cambaridae
Source: RefSeq, a predicted model, not a curated record